AGAGUUUGAUCCUGGCUCAGAAUGAACGCUGGCGGCGUGCUUAACACAUGCAAGUCGAACGAGAAAGCCGAAAGCUUGCUUUUGGCGAGUAAAGUGGCGCACGGGUGAGUAACGCGUGGGUAAUCUGCCUUUGAAUUCGGGAUAACACUUCGAAAGGGGUGCUAAUACCGGAUAACAUCUUUUUACCUUUGGUUAAAGAGAUCAAAGAUAGCCUCUACAUGUAAGCUAUUGUUUGGAGAUGAGCCCGCGUACCAUUAGCUUGUUGGUAGGGUAACGGCCUACCAAGGCAACGAUGGUUAGCUGGUCUGAGAGGAUGAUCAGCCACACUGGAACUGGAACACGGUCCAGACUCCUACGGGAGGCGGCAGUGAGGAAUUUUGCGCAAUGGGGGAAACCCUGACGCAGCAACGCCGCGUGAGUGAUGAAGGAUUUCGGUUCGUAAAGCUCUGUCAAGUGGGAAGAAGUUAUCAUAUAUUAAUAGUAUAUGGUAGGGACGGACCANUGAAGGAGCNC
RNAcentral lists this ribosomal RNA (513 nucleotides) under uncultured delta proteobacterium. Its description in RNAcentral is "bacterial SSU rRNA". It matches the Rfam family "Bacterial small subunit ribosomal RNA", at positions 8 to 493 of the family's 1533-position model. The record is from RNAcentral. Lineage: Bacteria; Deltaproteobacteria.